RNAcentral lists this ribosomal RNA (291 nucleotides) under uncultured eukaryote. RNAcentral's name for it is "partial 18S ribosomal RNA". It matches the Rfam family "Eukaryotic small subunit ribosomal RNA", at positions 6 to 311 of the family's 1831-position model. The record is from RNAcentral.
GGUUGAUCCUGCCAGUAGUCAUAUGCUUGUCUCAAAGAUUAAGCCAUGCAUGUCUCAGUGUAAACUUUUAAACAGUGAAACUGCGAAUGGCUCAUUAAAACAGUUAUAGUUCAUUUGAUAAUCAGCUUUACAUGGAUAACCGUGGGAAUUCUAGGGCUAAUACAUGCGAGAACCUUUUGGUUUGUGUUUAUUAGAUAAAAAUCAACGCCGUGUUUACACGGUAUUGUUGGAAUGAUAAUAACCGAUCGAAUCGCGUGCUUUAUGCAGCGAUGAAUCAUUCGAGUUUCUGAC